Molecule: ribosomal RNA, 558 nt
Filed under: uncultured Alphaproteobacteria bacterium
Lineage: Bacteria; Pseudomonadati; Pseudomonadota; Alphaproteobacteria
Description: bacterial SSU rRNA
Rfam family: Bacterial small subunit ribosomal RNA
Source: RNAcentral
UUCGGGGGAAAGAUUUAUCGCCAUUGGAGCGGCCCGCGUUGGAUUAGCUAGUUGGUGGGGUAAAGGCCCACCAAGGCGACGAUCCAUAGCUGGUCUGAGAGGAUGAUCAGCCACACUGGGACUGAGACACGGCCCAGACUCCUACGGGAGGCAGCAGUAGGGAAUCUUGCGCAAUGGGCGAAAGCCUGACGCAGCCAUGCCGCGUGAAUGAUGAAGGUCUUAGGAUUGUAAAAUUCUUUCACCGGGGAAGAUAAUGACGGUACCCGGAGAAGAAGCCCCGGCUAACUUCGUGCCAGCAGCCGCGGUAAUACGAAGGGGGCUAGCGUUGCUCGGAAUUACUGGGCGUAAAGGGCGCGUAGGCGGACAGUUUAGUCAGAGGUGAAAGCCCAGGGCUCAACCUUGGAACUGCCUUUGAUACUGGCUGUCUUGAGUUCGGGAGAGGUGAGUGGAAUGCNCGGGUGUAGAGGUGAAAUUCGUAGAUAUUCGGCGGAACACCAGUGGCGAAGGCGACUCACUGGCCCGAUACUGACGCUGAGGCGCGAAAGCGUGGGGAGCAAA